UUAAGUUAAUAAGGGCGCGUGGUGGAUGCCUUGGCACUAGGAGCCGAUGAAGGACGUGACUAACUACGAUAAGCUUUGGUGAGCGGUAAGUACGCUAAGACCCAGAGAUUUCCGAAUGGGGAAACCCAACUCGCAAAGAGUUGUCAAUAGUUGAAUACAUAGAUUAUUGACGGAACACGCUGUGAACUGAAACAUCUCAUUAGCAGCAGGAGCAGAAAGAAAAAUCGAUUCCCCAAGUAGCGGCGAGCGAAACGGGAAGAGCCCAAACCAGAGUGCUUGCAUUCUGGGGUUGUAGGACUGAUAAAUAGAAGUUACAAAAGUGUUUUAUAGCAGAACAAGUUGGGAAGCUUGGCUAAAGAGGGUGAUAGCCCCGUACGCGAAAUAAAGCACACUUCUUUCAGGAUCCUGAGUACGGCCGGACACGUGAAAUCCGGUCGGAAUCUGCGGGGACCAUCCCGUAAGGCUAAAUACUCCCUAGUGACCGAUAGUGAACCAGUACCGUGAGGGAAAGGUGAAAAGCACCCCGGAAGGGGAGUGAAAUAGUUCCUGAAACCACGACGCCUACAAGAAGUCAGAGCCCGUUAAUGGGUAAUGGCGUGCCUUUUGUAGAAUGAACCGGCGAGUUACGGUAUCGUGCGAGGUUAAGGUGGAAAGACCGGAGCCGCAGCGAAAGCGAGUGUGAAUAGCGCGAAUAGUACGAUGCUGUAGACCCGAAACCAGGUGACCUACCCAUGGUCAGGAUGAAGGUGAGGUAAAACUUACUGGAGGUCCGAACCGGUGCAUGUUAAAAAAUGCUCGGAUGAACUGUGGGUAGCGGUGAAAUUCCAAACGAACCUGGAGAUAGCUGGUUCUCUCCGAAAUAGCUUUAGGGCUAGCCUCAUUAUAAGCAUACUGGAGGUAGAGCACUGUUAAGCCUAGGGGCCCAUCUCGGGUUACCAAAGUUUGAUAAACUCCGAAUGCCAGCUAUGUAUGAAUGGGAGUCAGACGAUGAGUGAUAAGAUCCACCGUCGAAAGGGGAACAGCCCAGAUCGCCAGUUAAGGUCCCUAAAUAUAUGUUAAGUGGAAAACGAUGUGAUAGUGCAUAGACAACUAGGAUGUUGGCUCAGAAGCAGCCACCAUUUAAAGAGUGCGUAAUAGCUCACUAGUCGAGUGCCAUUGCGCGGAAAAUGUACCGGGGCUAAACAUAUUACCGAAACUGCGGGUGUGCGUAAAGCACGCGAUAGGAGAGCGUUGUAAGGGCAAAGAAGGUAGACUGUAAGGACUACUGGAGCGCUUACAAGUGAGAAUGCCGGUAUGAGUAGCGAAAGACAGGUGAGAAUCCUGUCCACCGAAUGACUAAGGUUUCCUGGGGAAGGCUCGUCCUCCCAGGGUUAGUCGGGACCUAAGGCGAGGCUGAGAAGCGUAGUCGAUGGCUAACAGGUUGAGAUUCCUGUACCAGUAGUAAUGCGUUUGACCAAUGGAGGGACGCAGGAGGCUAACAGAAGCGCACUGAUGGAAAUGUGCGUGCAAGCAGUAAGUUUGGGAAAGAGUGAAAUGCUUUUUUCUGAUAAGAACAAGCUGUGAUGCGGAUCGAAAUAAAGUAGAGAAGUCUGUGAUGUCACACUGCCGAGAAAAGCUUCUAGGGAGUAUUACACUGCCCGUACCGCAAACCGACACAGGUAGUCGAGUGGAGAACACUAAGGUGAGCGAGAGAACCCUCGUUAAGGAACUCGGCAAAAUGACCCCGUAACUUCGGGAGAAGGGGUGCUCAUUGUAAAAGAUGAGCCGCAGUGAAUAGGCCCAGGCGACUGUUUAUCAAAAACACAGGUUUCUGCAAAAUCGUAAGAUGAAGUAUAGGGGCUGACGCCUGCCCGGUGCUGGAAGGUUAAAAGGAGUGCUUAGCUUCGGCGAAGGUACGAAUUGAAGCCCCAGUAAACGGCGGCCGUAACUAUAACGGUCCUAAGGUAGCGAAAUUCCUUGUCGGGUAAGUUCCGACCCGCACGAAAG
This 1986-nucleotide ribosomal RNA is filed under the name Leuconostoc gasicomitatum. RNAcentral describes it as "bacterial LSU rRNA". It matches the Rfam family "Bacterial large subunit ribosomal RNA", at positions 3 to 1998 of the family's 2925-position model. Lineage: Bacteria; Bacillati; Bacillota; Bacilli; Lactobacillales; Lactobacillaceae. The record is from RNAcentral.